RNAcentral lists this ribosomal RNA (253 nucleotides) under uncultured bacterium. RNAcentral's name for it is "partial 16S ribosomal RNA". It matches the Rfam family "Bacterial small subunit ribosomal RNA", at positions 524 to 776 of the family's 1533-position model. The record is from RNAcentral.
UACAGAGGAGGCAAGCGUUAUUCGGAAUCAUUGGGCUUAAAGCGCGUGUAGGCGGCUUGGUAAGCGUCCCGUGAAAUCUCACUGCUCAACGGUGAAACUGCGGGGCGAACUGCCUGGCUUGAGGUUGGUAGAGGUGCCUGGAACUCUAGGUGGAGCGGUGAAAUGCGUAGAGAUCUAGAGGAACACCAGAGGCGAAAGCGGGGCACUGGGCCAAUACUGACGCUGAGACGCGAAAGAGUGGGGAGCAAACGGG